Molecule: long non-coding RNA, 395 nt
Organism: Nematostella vectensis (starlet sea anemone)
Lineage: Eukaryota; Metazoa; Cnidaria; Anthozoa; Actiniaria; Edwardsiidae
Exons: 2
Source: RefSeq, a predicted model, not a curated record
CGUCCACGAUCGUGGACGGCGGUUUGAUCAAACGAACUUGCGACCCAUGGCAGAGGUAUCUUUUCCUCGCGAACUCCAGCCCAGCGAAAUACAGAGAAAAGAGGCCUCUGCUAGCAGGGAACGACGCAAUCGAUACGGCAUCUGAACAGUCCAAAUGAUUUCCUUUUCUGGAAACACAAAUACGGCGGCCUUAAUGGAUUAUGCCGUCAUCAUUCAAGCCUCUCGGCUUUUACCGCCGGGGAGAUAUAUUUUUCGCUUUAAAAGCUGUUGAUAUUGACCAUGGCAAAGAAGAUGGAGAUAAGUAAAUAUUAGAAUGGACAGACAGAUCAUUAAAUUAUCUCCUUUGUAUUCCACUCUUAGUUAUUAAAAAAACUUAUACUAUUCUUUUUUUAAAA